RNAcentral lists this long non-coding RNA (2824 nucleotides) under Setaria viridis. RNAcentral's name for it is "long non-coding RNA (SVIR_LNC009902)". The record is from RNAcentral. Lineage: Eukaryota; Viridiplantae; Streptophyta; Magnoliopsida; Poales; Poaceae.
CAACUCAAAACUGACAAGACAUUGCACCACAUCGUUCUGUAGCUUUGAUAGCUUGGAUGGAUCGAUUGCCUUCUGCGAAAUCGCAUUAAGAAACGCGCAUAGCUUUACGAGCGGCAACCGGACAUUUUCUGGUAGAACACCCCUUAGUGCAACUGGAAGCAACUAGGUCAUCAACAUGUGGCAGUCAUGGGCCUUGAGAUUUGUAAACUUCUUUUGUUUCAUAUUUAUUAUUCCCUUUAUAUUCGAGGAGUACCCAGAUGGGACCUUCAUACUAUUCAAGCAUUCAAACAUGCUAUCCUUCUCUUCCUUGCUGAGAGUGUAACUGGCAGGAUGUAAGUACUGUUGUUCAUUAUCUCGCUUUUUCGGAUGUAGGUCAUCUCGUUGCCCCAUGGCUUUCAGGUCCUGUUGUACUUCCAAUGUAUCUUUCGAGGUCCUAUAAACACCCAUGAAGCCUAGCACGUUCACGCAAAGAUUCUUCGUCAGGUGCAUCACAUCUAUUGCAUUGCGAACCUCUAGGAUUUCUCAAUAAGGUAGCUCCCAAAAUAUUGACUUUUUCUUCCACAUGGGUGCAUGUCCGUUAUCAUCGUUCGGAACAGGUUGGCUACCAAGACCCUUUCCAAAGACUACAUUUACAUCCUUCAUCAUCUCGAAGACACGCUUUCCAUUACAGUGUGCAGGUUUUUUACGAUGGUCUAGCGCCCCUUUGAAAUGCAUCGCGCUCUUUCUCAGCUGGUGGUGAGCAGGGAGAAAUCGAUGAUGACCCAUAUAGACGACCUUCUUACAGUACUUCAAAUACAUGCUGUCUGUGUCGUCUAAACAGUGGGUGCAUGCCCGAUAUCCCUUAUUUGUCUGUCCUGAAAGGUUACUCAGUGCAGGACAAUCAUUGAUGGUUACGAACAACAAUGCUCGUAGAUUAAAGAUCUGUUGUCUAUCCUCAUCUCACACACGUACACCUUCUUCCUUCCAGAGCUGUAAAAGGUCAUCAACCAAUGGUCUUAGGUACAUCAAUGUCGUUGCCGAGUUAUUUUGGGCCUUGGAUAAGCGCUGGCAUCAUAAUGAACUUCCGCUUCAUGCACAGCGAAGGAGGAAGGUUGAACAUACAUAGGGUCACAGGCCAAGUACUAUGGCCACUACUCAACUCACCGAAUGGAUUGAAUCCAUCAGUACUUAAACCAAACCUUAUGUUCCUUGCUUCACUUUCAAAGUCCGGGAAUGCUCUAUCAAUUGAUCUCCACUGGGCCCCAUCUGCGGGGUGUCUCAGCAUCUCAUCUUUCAUACGUUCUUAUUUGUGCCAUCGCAUCAACUUAGCAUUCACCUUGUUCCUGAACAAGCGCUUUAAGCAUGGUAUUAUAGGGAAAUACCACAUCACCUUCGCGGGAACUCUCUUCUUGGGAGACUGCCCCUCGACAUCACCAUGAUCAUCUCGCCUGAUCUUAUACCGCAGCGCUUCGCAGACAGGACAAGCAUCCAAUUUCUCGUAUUCAUCACCACGAUAGAGGAUACAGUCAUUAGGGCAUGCGUGUAUCUUCUGAACAUCCAAUCCGAGAGGGCAAAUAGUCUGUUUAGCUUCAUAUGUUGUGGACGGUAAUUCAUUAUUCUCGGGAAGAAUCUUCUUGAUAAUGUUCAACAUCCCCUAAAAUGCCUUAUCGGACACACCAUUUUUUGCCUUCCAUUGCACAAAUUCUAGUGUCGUAUCUAGUUUUUUAUGGCCCUGCUGGCAACCUGGGUACAACAAUUUUUGGUGAUCAUCUAUCAUGCGCUGCAACAUUGCUGCUUCCUUCUUAGUUUCGUAGCACUUAGCAGAGUCCUGUGUUUUUAAUAAACAGUCGCUACCCCCUGGUAUGUGCCGCUUUCCUAAUCAAAAGAUAGGAGAGCACCCCUUCUCCCGAAGUUACGGGGUCAUUUUGCCGAGUUCCUUCGACAUGGUUCUCUCGACGCGCCCUAGUAUACUCUACUUGUUCACCUGUGUCGGUUUGGGGUACGGUCAGUUCACCGGGAGGAUCGCCCUCCCAAUUCGAAGUUUUUUCCUGGAAGUUUCAACCGUCGUUGACUAUGACAAUAGUCGUGACCGACUAUUAAGAUCCUUGCGACUAUGGCAGGGCGGUACACUCUGCUCUCUCGCGACCUCUACUCUAAUCAAAAGACUAAAGGCUCCUACGGAAGAUGAAAAAGGCGAGGACUGAAAUGAGAAAGGAAGGAGUUCGGCAAGACGACUUCGGUUCACACGUGAAAGUGCUUCGAAAGGUGUCAGCAGGUGCGCAGAGCUGGAGCCGGCAUGUUCGCCCGCUGGGCCGAGUGUUCACCCACUUCAAAGUCUUCUUAGAGAGUCGAUCCGUGUCCGUCCCAGCAAGAAAACGGCUGCGCGUUAUUGUACUAACGCGCGAUGGAGCAAGAAAACGUAUGCGCGUGUACGGAAGCGCAACGGCUUUCGCGCUCAUCCCUUGCUUCAAAACUAAAGGUUUUAGCCCUCCGUUUGCUGGUCGCCAAAGACGAGAGCUUCGCCUUUGGAAGCGCCAGUAGCGUAGGGCGACCGGGCCAGCCGAGCCCCUCUGAAUUAGUUGACGGCUUUGAUGACUCGACGGUGAAUAUUAAGGAAAGGAGAGCGAGGGGAAGAGGGGUUUUAAAAACCCUUGGCCCGAUCAUCCAAUUCGCUCCGACGAUCCAGGCAUGGUUCAGUAGUCAAAGCAACUUCGUCACUUUCAUGUACCCAUCGGACGGCAGCCCUUUCGGGGGUUCCUUAGGGACCGAUUCACUCUGCGUAGAUUGACUGAAUGCAGAAAGCCUUCCACUGGCAGGCGAUCGUGUUUUUCACAGGAUUUCUUGU